Molecule: transfer-messenger RNA, 395 nt
Filed under: Pseudomonadales
Lineage: Bacteria; Pseudomonadati; Pseudomonadota; Gammaproteobacteria
Also listed under: 2 other names
Description: Oceanicoccus sp024226635 Standard tmRNA
Rfam family: transfer-messenger RNA
About the family: Bacterial tmRNA, also known as 10Sa RNA or SsrA, is named for its dual tRNA and mRNA-like properties. Its role is to liberate the mRNA from a stalled ribosome.
Source: RNAcentral
GGGGCCGAUUUGGAUUCGACGCCGGUUACAAAACUUAUGUGUGCAUGCCGUGAUGGUAGCCAAUCACGUUAAUCCAAAGCUGCAAACUAUUAGUUGCCAACGAUGACAACUACGGUGCUCAACUAGCUGCGUAAGUAGCUUUUUGUUGUACCUUCUAGUGGAUGCGUCCGCUAGCGGCCUUUAGCAAGGUGCCAGUACCGCGCUAAUGUCCGUCACUCAGAACUGGAUCGUUGUGAAGCCGCGCCUGAGGUGGAUCUGCUAAACAUUAAUCAGGAUCGCCAAUUUCGUCCUGCCCGUCGGGCUGAAUGCGGCUAAAUUAAUUGACGGAAUCUAAGCAUGUAGAGCGCUAAGCAGCGGACUGACGGACGCGGGUUCAAUUCCCGCCGGCUCCACCA